AGCAGCCGCGGUAAUUCCAGCUCCAAUAGCGUAUAUUAAAGUUGCUGCAGUUAAAAAGCUCGUAGUUGAAUUUCGGGAUCAAUAUGUUGGUCGUGCCUCGGUACGUACUAGCUUAUUGGUUUCUCCCUUCUGACGAACCAUGAUGUCAUUUAUUUGGUGUUAUGGGAAAUCAGGACUGUUACUUUGAAAAAAUUAGAGUGUUUAAAGCAGGCUCACGCUUGAAUACAUUAGCAUGGAAUAAUGAAAUAGGACGUUUUGAUUCUAUUUUGUUGGUUUCUAGGAUCGACGUAAUGAUUAAUAGGGAUAGUUGGGGGCAUUAGUAUUCAAUUGUCAGAGGUGAAAUUCUUGGAUUUAUUGAAGACUAACUACUGCGAAAGCAUUUGCCAAGGAUGUUUUCAUUAAUCAAGAACGAAAGUUAGGGGAUCGAAGACGAUCAGAUACCGUCGUAGUCUUAACCAUAAACUAUGCCGACUAGGGAUCGGAUGAUGUAAUUUUUUUAAUGUACUCA
Molecule: ribosomal RNA, 508 nt
Filed under: uncultured Glomeraceae
Lineage: Eukaryota; Fungi; Glomeromycota; Glomeromycetes; Glomerales; Glomeraceae
Description: SSU rRNA
Rfam family: Eukaryotic small subunit ribosomal RNA
Source: RNAcentral